RNAcentral lists this transfer-messenger RNA (267 nucleotides) under Streptomyces phage LilMartin. RNAcentral describes it as "180". It matches the Rfam family "transfer-messenger RNA". Rfam says of the family: Bacterial tmRNA, also known as 10Sa RNA or SsrA, is named for its dual tRNA and mRNA-like properties. Its role is to liberate the mRNA from a stalled ribosome. To accomplish this part of the tmRNA is used as a reading frame that ends in a translation stop signal. The record is from RNAcentral. Lineage: Duplodnaviria; Heunggongvirae; Uroviricota; Caudoviricetes; Stanwilliamsviridae. RNAcentral also lists the same sequence under 1 other name.
GGGGAUGCCUUGGUUUCGACUGGGGUGGACGACAUUAGUUUGCAGCCCGACAUUGAGGAGAUGUCGUUAAAUAGCCUCAACCCUAUAAAUGCCAACUCUAAGUUCGCAUUCGCUCUUGCUGCCUGACGGUAGUUGAGCGGGGCUAGUGGGCGGCCUGGCAACAGAAUAGCCCACCACAAACUUUCUUGUAACACCCCUUGACACAUGGCUGUGUAUAGACUACUGUUUGAAGCAUCAGGACGCGGGUUCGACUCCCGCCAUCUCCAC